RNAcentral lists this ribosomal RNA (197 nucleotides) under uncultured bacterium. RNAcentral's name for it is "partial 16S ribosomal RNA". It matches the Rfam family "Bacterial small subunit ribosomal RNA", at positions 328 to 539 of the family's 1533-position model. The record is from RNAcentral.
ACGCUCGACACCUACGGGAGCAGCAGUGGGGAAUAUUGCACAAUGGGGGAAACCCUGAUGCAGCGACGCCGCGUGGAGGAAGAAGUAUCUCGGUAUGCAAACUUCUAUCAGCAGGGAAGAAAAUGACGGUACCUGACUAAGAAGCCCCGGCUAACUACGUGUCAGCAGCCGCGGUAAUCUGAGCGGGCUGGCAAGGC